This 77-nucleotide small RNA is filed under the name Xanthomonas nasturtii. RNAcentral describes it as "sX9 sRNA". It matches the Rfam family "Xanthomonas sRNA sX9". The record is from RNAcentral. Lineage: Bacteria; Pseudomonadati; Pseudomonadota; Gammaproteobacteria; Lysobacterales; Lysobacteraceae.
AUGUACCACUCGUACACAGUGGUUUGGAGCGCGCCGCCUGCCCGCACCUGACGACCGCUCGCACCAUUUUGUCAGCC